AUAAGCCUACGGGGCGCAGCAGUGGGGAAUAUUGCACAAUGGGGGAAACCCUGAUGCAGCGACGCCGCGUGAGUGAGGAAGUAUUUCGGUAUGUAAAGCUCUAUCAGCAGGGAAGAAAAUGACGGUACCUGACCAAGAAGCCCCGGCUAACUACGUGCCAGCAGCCGCGGUAAUACGUAGGGAGCAAGCGUUCUCCGGAUUUACUGGGUGUAAAGGGCGUGUAGGCGGGCCUGCAAGUCAGAAGUGAAAUCUGGGGGCUUAACCCCUAAACUGCUUUUGAAACUGUGGGUCCUGAGUGAUGGAGG
RNAcentral lists this ribosomal RNA (305 nucleotides) under uncultured bacterium. RNAcentral's name for it is "bacterial SSU rRNA". It matches the Rfam family "Bacterial small subunit ribosomal RNA", at positions 333 to 655 of the family's 1533-position model. The record is from RNAcentral.